RNAcentral lists this ribosomal RNA (1445 nucleotides) under metagenome. RNAcentral's name for it is "bacterial SSU rRNA". It matches the Rfam family "Bacterial small subunit ribosomal RNA". The record is from RNAcentral.
AGAGUUUGAUCCCGGCUCAGAAUCAACGCUGGCGGCGCGCUUAACACAUGCAAGUCGCACGAGAAAGCAGGAGCAAUCUUGUGAGUAAAGUGGCGUACGGGUGAGUAACACGUGGAUCAUCUACCUUUUAGUGGGGAAUACCCCCGGGAAACUGGGGACAAUACCGCAUAAGCUCGUAAGAGGAAAGCAGCAAUGCGCUGAAAGAGGAGUCCGCGGCUGAUUAGCUAGAUGGUGAGGUAAUGGCCCACCAUGGCAAAGAUCGGUAGCCGGCCUGAGAGGGCUCACGGCCACACUGGCACUGAAACACGGGCCAGACUCCUACGGGUCAGCAGUGGGGAAUCUUGCACAAUGGGGGAAACCCUGAUGCAGCGACGCCGCGUGAGCGAUGAAGCCCUUCGGGGUGUAAAGCUCUUUCGACGGGAACGAUAAUGACGGUACCCGGAGAAGAAGCUGCGGCUAACUACGUGCCAGCAGCCGCGGUAAUACGUAGGCAGCAAGCGUUGUUCGGAAUUACUGGGCGUAAAGAGUGUGUAGGCGGUGCUCUAAGUUUGGUGUGAAAUCUCCCGGCUCAACUGGGAGGGUGCGCCGAAGACUGGAGUGCUCGAGGGAUGGAGAGGUAAGCGGAAUUCCUGGUGUAGCGGUGAAAUGCGUAGAUAUCAGGAGGAACACCUGUGGUGUAGACAGCUUACUGGACAUCUUCUGACGCUGAGACACGAAAGCGUGGGUAGCAAACAGGAUUAGAUACCCUGGUAGUCCACGCCCUAAACGAUGCAUACUUGGUGUGAGCGAUUCAUUUCGUUCGUGCCGGAGCUAACGCGUUAAGUAUGCCGCCUGGGGAGUACGGUCGCAAGGCUGAAACUCAAAGGAAUUGACGGGGGCCCGCACAAGCGGUGGAGCAUGUGGUUCAAUUCGACGCAACGCGAAGAACCUUACCUGGGCUCGAACGGCUUAAGAACAACUGUGGAAACAUGGUCUUCCCGCAAGGGACUUGAGUCGAGGUGCUGCAUGGCUGUCGUCAGCUCGUGUCGUGAGAUGUUGGGUUAAGUCCCGCAACGAGCGCAACCCUUGUCCUGUGUUGCCACUCCCGCAAGGGAAGCACUCUCAGGAGACCGCCAGCGAUAAGUUGGAGGAAGGUGGGGAUGAUGUCAAGUCAUCAUGGCCUUUAUGUCCAGGGCUACACACGUGCUACAAUGGGCGGUACAAAGCGCUGCAAACCCGCGAGGGGGAGCUAAUCGCAAAAAACCGUCCUCAGUUCGGAUCGCAGGCUGCAACUCGCCUGCGUGAAGCUGGAAUCGCUAGUAAUGGCGCAUCAGAACGGCGCCGUGAAUACGUUCCCGGGCCUUGUACACACCGCCCGUCACAUCACGAAAGUGGAUUGUACUAGAAGUCCCAAUUUAACGGGCCCAAGGUAUGAUUCAUGAUUGGGGUGAAGUCGAAACAAGGUA